GUGGGGAAUUUUGCGCAAUGGGCGAAAGCCUGACGCAGCGACGCCGCGUGGGGGAAGAAGGCCUUCGGGUUGUAAACCCCUUUCGUGAGGGAAAAAGUCCCGGGCAACCGGGAUGAUGGUACCUCAGGAAGAAGCCACGGCUAACUCUGUGCCAGCAGCCGCGGUAAGACAGAGGUGGCAAGCGUUGUUCGGAUUUACUGGGCUUAAAGGGCGUGUAGGUGUCCUGAUAAGUCAGAUGUGGAAGCCUUGGGCUUAACCCAAGAAUUGCAUUUGAAACUGUCAGGAUUGAGUCGUGCAUGGGAGGGCGGAAUUCCUGGUGUAGCGGUGAAAUGCGUAGAUAUCAGGAGGAAGGCCGGUGGUGAAGAUGGCCCUCUGGGCAAUGACUGACACUGAGGCGCGAAAGCGUGGGUAGCAAACAGGAUUAGAAACCCUAGUAGUCC
RNAcentral lists this ribosomal RNA (440 nucleotides) under uncultured bacterium. Its description in RNAcentral is "bacterial SSU rRNA". It matches the Rfam family "Bacterial small subunit ribosomal RNA", at positions 354 to 796 of the family's 1533-position model. The record is from RNAcentral.